AUACCUGGAAAGCCCUGAAAAUACUGAACUUAAUGAAUUCAACAAAAUCGUUUUCCUGUAUCGUGUCGUUCCUAAAGUAGCGAAAGGCAGUUACGGACUUCACGUAGCGAAACUGGCGGGGAUAAACGACAUAAUAUUACGCACGGCUGCAAGGAAAUCAAAAGAAAUGAAACAAAAAGUAGAAUCGGUUAAUGAAUCUAAAAAGGAAAAUGAAAUAAAAUUUAGGCAAAUUAUGAAAAUAGUAAAAAAUUGC
Molecule: long non-coding RNA, 253 nt
Organism: Zophobas morio
Lineage: Eukaryota; Metazoa; Arthropoda; Insecta; Coleoptera; Tenebrionidae
Exons: 3
Source: RefSeq, a predicted model, not a curated record